This 466-nucleotide ribosomal RNA is filed under the name uncultured bacterium. Its description in RNAcentral is "partial 16S ribosomal RNA". It matches the Rfam family "Bacterial small subunit ribosomal RNA", at positions 29 to 507 of the family's 1533-position model. The record is from RNAcentral.
AUGAACGCUGACAGAAUGCUUAACACAUGCAAGUCAACUUGAAUUUGGGUUUUUAACUUAGGUUUGGGUGGCGGACGGGUGAGUAACGCGUAAAGAACUUGCCUCACAGCUAGGGACAACAUUUGGAAACGAAUGCUAAUACCUAAUAUUAUGAUAAUAGGGCAUCCUAUAAUUAUGAAAGCUAUAAGCGCUGUGAGAGAGCUUUGCGUCCCAUUAGCUAGUUGGAGAGGUAACGGCUCACCAAGGCGAUGAUGGGUAGCCGGUCUGAGAGGGUGAUCGGCCACAAGGGGACUGAGACACGGCCCUUACUCCUACGGGAGGCAGCAGUGGGGAAUAUUGGACAAUGGACCGAGAGUCUGAUCCAGCAAUUCUGUGUGCACGAUGAAGUUUUUCGGAAUGUAAAGUGCUUUCAGUUGGGAAGAAACAAAUGACGGUACCAACAGAAGAAGUGACGGCUAAAUACGUG